AUGGUCACUGUUUGUGGCUGCCCAACGGUGCUGAAGACAGCACCCAGAGUGCUGGCAUGGGGAAGCCAAGGGUCCUGGCUCAGGCUUGCAGGAUGCAGCCCUAAAGUCAUCACCCACUCAGGCAGACCCCUCUUGCUCUGUCCUUUCAGACUGCUGCCAGAGAUCCAGGCAAUGCCUAAAGCCCCAGAGCAGCCUGUGAGCUGUGAGAUGCAGGGCCAGGCAGGAACCGGAAACCAAGAUGAACUUGGCCAAGCACAGAGAACUCAAUGUGUGAGGUUCCAUUCUGAAGAACAGGCAGCGGAAAACGACCACCAUGAGGGUGCACGGUUGAAAGUGAAAACCAAGACCUCACACCCUCGGGGCAUCUUGAGGAAGUCACCAUCUUCCAGAAAAGAUUCCACAUCUUCCUCAGGGCCUGAGUCCAGCCAGUCCAUGGAGACCAAAGGCAGACCUUCCAGGCCGGCACUUCGGGCUAAGGAUUCAUUCAAACUUAACCAGGAGAGGAUGAGGCGAGCACAGGAGGAACGUGAGAAGGAGACCAAAGACAGACCAACCAGGCUGGCACUUCGGGCUAAGGAUUCAUUCAAACUUCACAAGGAGAGGCUGAGGCGAGCAAAGGAUGAACGUGAGAAGGAGACCAAAGGCAGACCAUCCAGGCGGGCACGUCUAGCUCACGUUUCAUUCAAUCUUAACGAGGAGAGGAUGAGACGAGCAAAGGAUGAACGUGAGAAGGAGACCAAAGGCAGACCACCCAGGCGGGCACAUCUGCCUCAGGUUUCAUCCAGACUUUGCAAGGAGAGAAAGAGGCAAGCGCAGGAUGAACGUGAGGAGCCAGCAGCAUCUACAUCUCCUGAUGACUCCAGGCUGUCUGAGGAGUCCUCCAGUGACAGCUCUGGAUGGGUGCCACCCAGAAAUAAACUAAUAUGGACUCAGAACAACAUACACCCGCACACCCCCUGUUCCCCCAAGGCAAUGUGCACAGUUCCCUACCCAGUCUGGUGA
RNAcentral lists this long non-coding RNA (1002 nucleotides) under Coturnix japonica (Japanese quail). Its description in RNAcentral is "lncRNA (ENSCJPG00005000956.1)". The record is from RNAcentral. Lineage: Eukaryota; Metazoa; Chordata; Aves; Galliformes; Phasianidae.